UGGCGGCACGCCUAACACAUGCAAGUCGAACGAAGUAGUAAUACUUAGUGGCAGACGGGUGAGUAACAUGUAGGUAUCUGCCCUUUGGCCUGGAAUAACACGAGGAAACUUGUGCUAAUACCGGAUAAGUCUUUACAGAGAAAGCUUUAUGCACCAUUGGAUGAGCCUGCACUUGAUUAGUUUGUUGGUGGGGUAAUGGCCUACCAAGACUGUGAUCAAUAGCUGAUUUGAGAGGAUGAUCAGCCACAUUGGGACUGAGACACGGCCCAAACUCCUACGGGAGGCAGCAGUGGGGAAUCUUGCACAAUGGAGGAAACUCUGAUGCAGCGAUGCCGCGUGAGUGAAGAAGGCCUUUGGGUUGUAAAGCUCUUUCGUCGGGGAAGAAAAUGACUGUACCCGAAUAAGAAGGUCCGGCUAACUUCGUGCCAGCAGCCGCGGUAAUACGAAGGGACCUAGCGUAGUUCGGAAUUACUGGGCUUAAAGAGUUCGUAGGUGGUUGAAAAAGUUGGUGGUGAAAUCCCAGAGCUUAACUCUGGAACUGCCAUCAAAACUUUUCAGCUAGAGUAUGAUAGAGGAAAGCAGAAUUUCUAGCGUAGAGGUGAAAUUCGUAGAUAUUAGAAAGAAUACCAAUUGCGAAGGCAGCUUUCUGGAUCAUUACUGACACU
Molecule: ribosomal RNA, 665 nt
Filed under: uncultured bacterium
Lineage: Bacteria
Description: bacterial SSU rRNA
Rfam family: Bacterial small subunit ribosomal RNA
Source: RNAcentral